CUUUGGGCUCCUCUUUAGUGGGCUGUGGCUUUUCGGUGUGAACACUUUCAAUUGUGUUACGAAAGGACUGACGAUCUUCAAGCCGGGGCUUCUUUUCGGGAAAGGAUGCAGAGGCCGCCUGCUCAAAGGAUUUCCUCUUCUGAUCCUUGGGUUCCUGAUCCACAGUUUCCUGAGGCAGGCUAGGAAUUCUGUCUGGAGAUGCAGAGGCACGUGCCAAGUUGUCUGGCUCAGCCUGGAUCCGAGAAGCCACAGACUCAACUGGGAAUUCGGGACCCUCCAGGUCGG
Molecule: long non-coding RNA, 285 nt
Filed under: Homo sapiens (human)
Lineage: Eukaryota; Metazoa; Chordata; Mammalia; Primates; Hominidae
Description: non-protein coding lnc-NOL4L-3:1
Source: RNAcentral